UACGAAGGGGACUAGCGUUGUUCGGAAUUACUGGGCGUAAAGCGCGCGUAGGCGGAUCGCUAAGUCAGGGGUGAAAUCCCAAGGCUCAACCUUGGAACUGCCUUUGAUACUGACGAUCUGGAGAUCGGGAGAGGUGAGUGGAAUUCCGAGUGUAGAGGUGAAAUUCGUAGAUAUUCGGAGGAACACCAGAAGCGAAGGCGGCUCACUGGCCCGAUACUGACGCUGAGGCGCGAAAGCGUGGGGAGCAAACAGG
RNAcentral lists this ribosomal RNA (253 nucleotides) under uncultured bacterium. Its description in RNAcentral is "partial 16S ribosomal RNA". It matches the Rfam family "Bacterial small subunit ribosomal RNA", at positions 524 to 776 of the family's 1533-position model. The record is from RNAcentral.